AACGAACGCUGGCGGCGUGCCUAACACAUGCAAGUCGAGCGCGAAAGAAGGGGCAACUCUUUGAGUAGAGCGGCGCACGGGUGAGUAACACGUGGGUAAUCUGCCCUCAGGUCUGGAAUAACCCGGGGAAACUCGGGCUAACACCGGAUGAGACCACGAAACGAAGGUUUUGUGGGAAAAGCGGAGGAUCUCUUCGGAGACUUCGCGCCAGAGGAUGAGCCCGCGUCCCAUCAGCAGUUGGCGGGGUAAUGGCCCACCAAGGCUAAGACGGUAGCUGGUCUGAGAGGAUGAUCAGCCACACUGGAACUGAGACACGGGUCCAGACUCCUACGGGAGGCAGCAGUGGGGAAUCUUGGACAAUGGGCGAAAGCCUGAUCCAGCAACGCCGCGUGAGUGAAUG
This 400-nucleotide ribosomal RNA is filed under the name uncultured bacterium. RNAcentral's name for it is "bacterial SSU rRNA". It matches the Rfam family "Bacterial small subunit ribosomal RNA", at positions 29 to 411 of the family's 1533-position model. The record is from RNAcentral.